AUACUGCGCCAGGGGUCAGGCUGCAGCACCAGAGCAUGUGCUUAUGCAUAACUGGGGCUGGUUUCUCCCCACAGCAGCUCUUUUCAAUGCAAGAGACACGG
Phyllostomus discolor (pale spear-nosed bat) is the source of this 101-nucleotide small nucleolar RNA. The record is from RefSeq and is a predicted model, not a curated record. NCBI's taxonomy places the organism in Eukaryota, Metazoa, Chordata, Mammalia, Chiroptera, Phyllostomidae.